RNAcentral lists this ribosomal RNA (428 nucleotides) under Candidatus Dojkabacteria bacterium. RNAcentral's name for it is "bacterial SSU rRNA". It matches the Rfam family "Bacterial small subunit ribosomal RNA", at positions 1102 to 1533 of the family's 1533-position model. The record is from RNAcentral.
CCCUUGUCGUUAAUUGCCAUCAUUUAGUUGGGCACUUUAGCGAGACUGCCGGUGACAAACCGGAGGAAGGUGGGGAUGACGUCAAGUCCUCAUGGCCCUUAUGGGUAGGGCUUCACACGUCAUACAAUGGUCGAUACAAUGGGAAGCCAAGCCGUAAGGCGGAGCUGAUCCUCAAAAUCGAUCUCAGUUCGGAUUGUGGUCUGAAACUCGACCACAUGAAGGUGGAUUUGCUAGUAAUCGUGAAUCAGCCAUGUCACGGUGAAUACGUUCUCGAGUCUUGCACACACCGCCCGUCAAGCCAUGGAAGUAGGUGAUACCCGAAGUCGUUCUGUCUCUUGUAGAUGGGAUGUCGAAGGUAACGCUUAUGACUGGGGUUAAGUCGUAACAAGGUAGCCGUAGGGGAAUCUGCGGCUGAAUUACCUCCUUUC